AUUGAACGCUGGCGGCAGGCCUAACACAUGCAAGUCGAGCGGAUGAAGGGAGCUUGCUCCUGGAUUCAGCGGCGGACGGGUGAGUAAUGCCUAGGAAUCUGCCUGGUAGUGGGGGAUAACGUCCGGAAACGGGCGCUAAUACCGCAUACGUCCUGAGGGAGAAAGUGGGGGAUCUUCGGACCUCACGCUAUCAGAUGAGCCUAGGUCGGAUUAGCUAGUUGGUGGGGUAAAGGCCUACCAAGGCGACGAUCCGUAACUGGUCUGAGAGGAUGAUCAGUCACACUGGAACUGAGACACGGUCCAGACUCCUACGGGAGGCAGCAGUGGGGAAUAUUGGACAAUGGGCGAAAGCCUGAUCCAGCCAUGCCGCGUGUGUGAAGAAGGUCUUCGGAUUGUAAAACACUUUAAGUUGGGAGGAAGGGCAGUAAGUUAAUCCCUUGCUGUUUUGACGUUACCAACAGAAUAAGCACCGGCUAACUUCGUG
This 484-nucleotide ribosomal RNA is filed under the name uncultured bacterium. Its description in RNAcentral is "partial 16S ribosomal RNA". It matches the Rfam family "Bacterial small subunit ribosomal RNA", at positions 30 to 507 of the family's 1533-position model. The record is from RNAcentral.